UGGGGUAUCGCCAAGCGGUAAGGCACCGGUUUUUGAUACCGGCAUUCCCUGGUUCGAAUCCAGUGCACUCAGCCA
This 75-nucleotide transfer RNA is filed under the name Escherichia coli. RNAcentral describes it as "tRNA-Gln". It matches the Rfam family "tRNA". Rfam says of the family: Transfer RNA (tRNA) molecules are approximately 80 nucleotides in length. Their secondary structure includes four short double-helical elements and three loops (D, anti-codon, and T loops). Further hydrogen bonds mediate the characteristic L-shaped molecular structure. tRNAs have two regions of fundamental functional importance: the anti-codon, which is responsible for specific mRNA codon recognition, and the 3' end, to which the tRNAs corresponding amino acid is attached (by aminoacyl-tRNA synthetases). tRNAs cope with the degeneracy of the genetic code in two manners: having more than one tRNA (with a specific anti-codon) for a particular amino acid; and 'wobble' base-pairing, i.e. permitting non-standard base-pairing at the 3rd anti-codon position. Lineage: Bacteria; Pseudomonadati; Pseudomonadota; Gammaproteobacteria; Enterobacterales; Enterobacteriaceae. The record is from RNAcentral.